AGCGAACGCUGGCGGCAGGCUUAACACAUGCAAGUCGAGCGGGCCCUUCGGGGUCAGCGGCGGACGGGUGAGUAACGCGUGGGAACGUGCCCUCUGGUCUGGAAUAACCCUGGGAAACUAGGGCUAAUCCCGGAUACGCCCUUUUGGGGAAAGGCUUGCUGCCGGAGGAUCGGCCCGCGUCUGCUUUGCUAGUUGGUGGGGUAACGGCCUACCAAGGCGACGAUCAGUAGCUGGUCUGAGAGGAUGAUCAGCCACACUGGGACUGAGACACGGCCCAGACCCCUACGGGAGGCAGCAGUGGGGAAUAUUGGACAAUGGGCGCAAGCCUGAUCCAGCCAUGCCGCGUGAGUGAUGAAGGCCUUAGGGUUGUAAAGCUCUUUUAUCCGGGACGAUAAUGACGGUACCGGAGGAAUAAGCCCCGGCUAACUUCGUGCCAGCCGCCGCGGUAA
This 449-nucleotide ribosomal RNA is filed under the name uncultured bacterium. RNAcentral describes it as "partial 16S ribosomal RNA". It matches the Rfam family "Bacterial small subunit ribosomal RNA", at positions 28 to 523 of the family's 1533-position model. The record is from RNAcentral.